This is a long non-coding RNA of Hyalella azteca, 1267 nucleotides long. RefSeq lists it as uncharacterized. The transcript is spliced from 2 exons. Lineage: Eukaryota; Metazoa; Arthropoda; Malacostraca; Amphipoda; Hyalellidae. The record is from RefSeq and is a predicted model, not a curated record.
GCACGAAGCGGUUCGUCCUGAGCGCGGGCAUCACAAAUGCAGGAGCCGUGACAUCCCUGAGCGCCCAGAACCUCUGCGCUGCAGAUGGCCUCGAGUUUGCUGUGAUCAACUCCGCCGCUGAAUACCAGCUGCUUCAUGCUCAAGUGGGACCCGAGAUCAGAUCCCGUUGCACAGCCGCGUGCUUGGCCUGGUUGUGGCUCAACUCUACGCAGCAAUGGGCUGAUGGAAGUUUUUUCAACCAGUGCCAGAUCGUCAUCGAACCGGCUUCAUCAGGCCCUUGCUUCGCUCAGGAGGCUUCGACACUCGAGGUGUGGAGGGGACCCUGCAUCUCACUCGGAUCCAUUCCUGUGAUCUGUCAAACUUACGUUUGAGUGCACAAGAAAAGGAGAGUCACGAUUGGCUGGGUAAAUUCCCAGUGAAACAGCAAGUAAUAGGUGAACGCACAUGAUAGUAACAAUAUUCAACUACUAUGAAUAUUGUUACUACUGUACUUCAAACCGGCUCACAGCCACGAAUAUCAGCAGUUUUUAUCCAGCGUGAGAAAUUUCCUGAUGUACCUACUCUUAACGGUGGACCUCGUAACGGUGGUCAAAUGUAUUUUCAUGAGUAUUAACUCAUUCGCCUGAUUAACGUUCAAUAAUAUCAGCCUUGUUAUUCCAUCUUAGAGCCAGAACAACGGAUUAAAACGCUCAGCCAUUAAUCCACAGCGGUGCCAGUGUUAUAAAUUAGCCCAUUAGGCCUGUCGCCGAUUCAGAACAUCGCCGAAUUUUCACAGCUUGCUGCGGGUCUCGAACACGCAACUCUCUGCACCAAUAUUGCUUUUGCUUAACCGUCUGACUAACUCGCCGAUUUUGACCAAAACUGUCACAGGAAGCUACGGUCGAACCCGCAACUCCCUGCCCCAAUUUUGGUACUAUGAACUGCAACCACUGCGUCACCCUGCCGGGGUUCAUACAGUAACAUAAAGUUGUGGUUAACGACAGUUUACGAGUAAUGUGAUCCGGUGAACUGUGGUUGCAGGGAAAUUAGUGAAGGUUAAAAUGGACGAAAGUUAACCUGUCACAGUAACUUUACCCGGGGUGACCGGUUUAACUGCUGUCGCAGGUUAAGCUAACGAUUCGUUGCUCGGGGAAUGUUUUUUUUUUUUUCUGACAGCACUAGGAGGCGUUUGAGUUGGUUUAUGGUGUUUGAUGUUUCAAUAAUUACAUUAUUUACAUGCACGAGUGCUGUACAACUUAGAUGUGAAUUCAAUAUAUUGACAAGCUAC